UACAGAGGUCUCAAGCGUUGUUCGGAUUCACUGGGCUUAAAGGGUGCGUAGGCGGCGCGGAAAGUUGGGUGUGAAAUCCCUCGGCUCAACCGAGGAACUGCGCCCAAAACUACCGUGCUCGAGGGAGAUAGAGGUGAGCGGAACUUAGGGUGGAGCGGUGAAAUGCGUUGAUAUCCUAAGGAACACCGGUGGCGAAAGCGGCUCACUGGAUCUCUUCUGACGCUGAGGCACGAAAGCUAGGGUAGCGAACGGG
RNAcentral lists this ribosomal RNA (253 nucleotides) under uncultured bacterium. RNAcentral describes it as "partial 16S ribosomal RNA". It matches the Rfam family "Bacterial small subunit ribosomal RNA", at positions 524 to 776 of the family's 1533-position model. The record is from RNAcentral.